Molecule: ribosomal RNA, 333 nt
Filed under: Extubocellulus spinifer
Lineage: Eukaryota; Bacillariophyta; Thalassiosirophyceae; Cymatosirales; Cymatosiraceae
Description: SSU rRNA
Rfam family: Eukaryotic small subunit ribosomal RNA
Source: RNAcentral
CUCGUAGUUGGAUUUCUGGUGGGAGCGACCGGUCCGACGCUUAGCGUGGGUACUUGUGUCGUCUCCGGCCAUCCUUGGGGAGAGUCUGUCUGGCAUUAAGUUGUCGGGCAGAGGAUCCUCAUCGUUUACUGUGAAAAAAUUAGAGUGUUCAAAGCAGGCUUAUGCCGUUGAAUAUAUUAGCAUGGAAUAAUAAGAUAGGACUUUGGUACUAUUUUGUUGGUUUGCGCACCAAAGUAAUGAUUAAUAGGGACAGUUGGGGAUAUUCGUAUUUCGUUGUCAGAGGUGAAAUUCUUGGAUUUACGAAAGACGAACUACUGCGAAAGCAUUUAUCAA